This 253-nucleotide ribosomal RNA is filed under the name uncultured bacterium. Its description in RNAcentral is "partial 16S ribosomal RNA". It matches the Rfam family "Bacterial small subunit ribosomal RNA", at positions 524 to 776 of the family's 1533-position model. The record is from RNAcentral.
GACGGAAGGCGCAAGCGUUGCUCGGAAUCACUGGGCGUAAAGGGUGCGUAGGCGGCUUGGUAGGUCUGGUGUGAAAGCCCCGGGCUCAGCCCGGGAAGGGCACUAGAAACUGCCAAGCUAGAGUGCCGGAGGGGAGAGUGGAAUUCCUGGUGUAGCGGUGAAAUGCGUAGAGAUCAGGAGGAAUACCGGUGGCGAAAGCGACUCUCUGGACGGCAACUGACGCUGAGGCACGAAAGCGUGGGGAGCAAACAGG